Molecule: transfer RNA, 73 nt
Filed under: Gemmatimonadota bacterium
Lineage: Bacteria; Pseudomonadati; Gemmatimonadota
Description: Gemmatimonadetes bacterium (groundwater metagenome) tRNA-Lys
Rfam family: tRNA
About the family: Transfer RNA (tRNA) molecules are approximately 80 nucleotides in length. Their secondary structure includes four short double-helical elements and three loops (D, anti-codon, and T loops).
Source: RNAcentral
GACCCGGUAGCUCAGUUGGUAGAGCAGCGGACUUUUAAUCCGUAGGUCGAGGGUUCGAUCCCCUCCCGGGUCA